GGAAGUAAAAGUCGUAACAAGGUCUCCGUUGGUGAACCAGCGGAGGGAUCAUUACUGAGUUUACGCUCUACAACCCUUUGUGAACAUACCUAUAACUGUUGCUUCGGCGGGUAGGGUCUCCGCGACCCUCCCGGCCUCCCGCCUCCGGGCGGGUCGGCGCCCGCCGGAGGAUAACCAAACUCUGAUUUAACGACGUUUCUUCUGAGUGGUACAAGCAAAUAAUCAAAACUUUUAACAACGGAUCUCUUGGUUCUGGCAUCGAUGAAGAACGCAGCGAAAUGCGAUAAGUAAUGUGAAUUGCAGAAUUCAGUGAAUCAUCGAAUCUUUGAACGCACAUUGCGCCCGCCAGCAUUCUGGCGGGCAUGCCUGUUCGAGCGUCAUUUCAACCCUCAAGCUCUGCUUGGUGUUGGGGCCCUACAGCCGAUGUAGGCCCUCAAAGGUAGUGGCGGACCCUCCCGGAGCCUCCUUUGCGUAGUAACUUUACGUCUCGCACUGGGAUCCGGAGGGACUCUUGCCGUAAAACCCCCCAAUUUUCCAAAGGUUGACCUCGGAUCAGGUAGGAGUACCCGCUGAACUUAAGCAUAUCAAUAAGCGGAGGA
This 599-nucleotide ribosomal RNA is filed under the name Colletotrichum gloeosporioides. Its description in RNAcentral is "eukaryotic LSU rRNA". The stretch from base 227 to 380 matches the Rfam family "5.8S ribosomal RNA". Lineage: Eukaryota; Fungi; Ascomycota; Sordariomycetes; Glomerellales; Glomerellaceae. The record is from RNAcentral.